UACGUAGGGUGCAAGCGUUGUCCGGAAUUAUUGGGCGUAAAGAGCUCGUAGGCGGUUUGUCGCGUCUGCUGUGAAAUCCCGAGGCUCAACCUCGGGCCUGCAGUGGGUACGGGCAGACUAGAGUGCGGUAGGGGAGAUUGGAAUUCCUGGUGUAGCGGUGGAAUGCGCAGAUAUCAGGAGGAACACCGAUGGCGAAGGCGGCUUGCUGGGCCUUACCUGACGCUGAGGAGCGAAAGCGUGGGGAGCAAACAGG
RNAcentral lists this ribosomal RNA (253 nucleotides) under uncultured bacterium. RNAcentral's name for it is "partial 16S ribosomal RNA". It matches the Rfam family "Bacterial small subunit ribosomal RNA", at positions 524 to 776 of the family's 1533-position model. The record is from RNAcentral.